CCUACGGGAGGCAGCAGUGAGGAAUAUUGGUCAAUGGACGCAAGUCUGAACCAGCCAUGCCGCGUGCAGGAAGACGGUUCUAUGAGUUGUAAACUGCUUUUGUACGAGGGUAAAGGCAGAUACGUGUAUCUGUCUGAAUGUACCGUACGAAUAAGGAUCGGCUAACUCCGUGCCAGCAGCCGCGGUAAUACGGAGGAUUCAAGCGUUAUCCGGAUUUAUUGGGUUUAAAGGGUGCGUAGGCGGUCGGAUAAGUUAGAGGUGAAAUCCCGAGGCUCAACUUCGGAAUUGCCUCUGAUACUGGACGGCUAGAGAGUAGUUGCGGUAGGCGGAAUGUAUGGUGUAGCGGUGAAAUGCUUAGAGAUCAUACAGAACACCGAUUGCGAAGGCAACUUACCGGGCUACUACUGACGCUGAGGCACGAAAGCGUGGGUAGCAAACAGGAUUAGAUACCCGAGUAGUC
Molecule: ribosomal RNA, 460 nt
Filed under: uncultured bacterium
Lineage: Bacteria
Description: partial 16S ribosomal RNA
Rfam family: Bacterial small subunit ribosomal RNA
Source: RNAcentral